CGCGGCCUGGCGGGACAGGCGGACGCGCGCCCCUGGGGCGCACGGGCAUCCCGCCCGUGCGGGCCCGAGCCCCGCGGCCGCGACCA
Molecule: transfer RNA, 86 nt
Filed under: Olsenella uli MSTE5
Lineage: Bacteria; Bacillati; Actinomycetota; Coriobacteriia; Coriobacteriales; Atopobiaceae
Description: tRNA-Pro
Source: RNAcentral